Molecule: ribosomal RNA, 292 nt
Filed under: uncultured Acidobacteriota bacterium
Lineage: Bacteria; Pseudomonadati; Acidobacteriota
Description: uncultured Acidobacteria bacterium partial 16S ribosomal RNA
Source: RNAcentral
GGACUACUAGGGUAUCUAAUCCUGUUUGCUCCCCACGCUUUCGUGCCUCAGCGUCAGUCAUGGUCCAGUAAGCCGUCUACACCGCCGGUGUUCCUCCUGAUAUCUACGCAUUUCACCGCUACACCAGGAAUUCCGCUUACCUCUCCCACACUCCAGCCCCGCAGUUUUCGGCGCACCCUCCCAGUUAAGCCGGGAGAUUUCACACCAAACUUGCGGAACCGCCUACGCACUCUUUACGCCCAGUAACUCCGAACAACGCUUGCUGCCUACGUAUUACCGCGGCUGCUGGCAC